UACGAAGGGUGCAAGCGUUACUCGGAAUCACUGGGCGUAAAGCGUGCGUAGGCGGUUCGUUAAGUCUGCUGUGAAAGCCCUGGGCUCAACCUGGGAACUGCAGUGGAUACUGGCGGACUAGAGUGUGAUAGAGGAUGAUGGAAUUCCCGGUGUAGCGGUGAAAUGCGUAGAGAUCGGGAGGAACACCAGUGGCGAAGGCGGCCAUCUGGAUCAACACUGACGCUGAGGCACGAAAGCGUGGGGAGCAACAGGGAUUAAGAAACCAUGGUAACGUUCCGA
RNAcentral lists this ribosomal RNA (279 nucleotides) under uncultured bacterium. RNAcentral's name for it is "partial 16S ribosomal RNA". It matches the Rfam family "Bacterial small subunit ribosomal RNA", at positions 524 to 798 of the family's 1533-position model. The record is from RNAcentral.